AGGACUGGCUUGUUCAGCACCUAUGACUAAAGAGGCCAAGCACAGGGAAAAGGAUACAUGCAGGUGGAGUACAAGUUUAAUGUGUGAAAGCCUCAUUACAAUGUCCAGUGAUGUGAAGUUCCCACCUUUCUGAACACCUCAGUUCAUAUUCAGGGAUAGCAGGAGCUCUAGCAAUAUCUGUCUUUAUAAAGCCUGCAAUGAGAGAGCAAGAGACUGAGCAGGAGGCUGUGGGGAGAAGGGUAAAAUAUACUAGUGACCAUGCUUCCUGAGGGGAGCGUCUGAUGUGGCUAGAAGAGAGAGAAUACUGCACUGGUUGUAAAGGUCCUGUCCUGCUUCCCUGUUCACACCAGUUCUCAUCAGAAGUCACUGUGAAGAAUGAAAACAGUCUCUGGAUAAUCUUUAGGUGCUGCAAAUGCAGGUUUUUUUCAGUUGACAGUGUUGUUAAUAUCAUGCUGAGCUACGGAUGUGAGGAAGACUGGUGCAGUUCCAGUCUCUACUAACAGAAGAGAAAUCUUAUGGCAGUAUUGGGAGUUCGAAAACUAAUGCCUGCUUAAUAAAACUAAAUGUAAAGAAGUAAAAUUACACCAAAAACCUUGGGAAAUUUCCAAUCUCGUGACAUAGCACUGUGGAAUAACCUCCCCGGGUAAGAGCUGAGAGCCCAGUUAUUUGGCAGUCUUUAAAGUUAGACUAGAUGGAACAUCAGAAAAAAUAGUGUAAGAAAUACCCAGCUCAGGUGGGAGGAUGGAGUAAAUGAUUAAAUACCAUAGGUCUUUCCGGCUCUUAAUCGCUGUAAUUCUUUGAUACAUCAGAUUGUCCCAGCAGGAAUCACUGGAAAGAAAGAUCCAGGAGUGCUGUCUAUUAAAAAGCUCAUAGAUACUUCUGUUCCAGCAGGAGACACUGUAAGGAACAGUGGAGGAGUGUUGUACAUCGGGGAGUUCAAAGCUACCCUCCAGCCCCACUCUUGCUGGGAAGCCUGCUCUUUAGGCAGCAGUGCAGGAAUGGUGGCUCUGGGGAGCUCACAGACCGUCCUGCACCAGGCUCUUGGCAGGAGGCACUGGGGGGACUGGGCAGAGAUUGCUCUUUCAGGAGGUAGGAAGCAUGUA
This is a non-coding RNA of Phalacrocorax carbo (great cormorant), 1103 nucleotides long. NCBI's taxonomy places the organism in Eukaryota, Metazoa, Chordata, Aves, Suliformes, Phalacrocoracidae. The record is from RefSeq and is a predicted model, not a curated record.